CGCCGUCCCCACGGUGCGCGCGCCUGCCGGGGCCGCGCGGGGAGGCGCGGCGGAGGGGCCCCUGCACCUCGUAGGUCCUUUCGCCUCCCGAACAAACUCCGUCCCAGGAAAUUGCACAGAGACGUGCGGCCGAACCUGAUGCCGCCAGAUCUCCAUCCGGAAAAAACAGAUGACUGUCUACAAUGCCUGCACCAGGAGGAUAUUAUUCUACAAAUAAGGGCCCAGCGUGACAUUUAUGAGAAAGCCAGGGUCCUUCUGUGCAAAACUGAUUGGUGCUCAGCCAAUGGGCUCCAGGGCAUUGCAAAUAAAACCACCUUCUCCACCGGGCCCGUUCAGAUGCAGGAUAGUGUGUUGCUUCUGCCUGUGGAACUUUAGGAAAUGCUCAACUCCUGUCCUAGCAAAAUACAUCUGUGGCCAGCUAAGUGAAACCAGCUUUGAAGAUGAAACACCUUCUUCCUCAAUUCCCUUCCAUCUUGGCCAUCUAUUGCUUCUGCAUGCUACAGAUUCCCUCUUCAGGAUCUCCUCGACCUCUAGCUGAUCCCCCAGAUGGCUUGGAUAUCACGCAGCUUGAGCGACUGGCAUAUUGGGCCACUCUUUCUAAGCAACCUAAGGUAAAAAAAAAUAUAUACAUAUAAUAAUUCAUUUAUUUUUAUUUUUUUAAAGAUUUAUUUAUUUAUUUGAGAGAGAGAGAGGAGUAAG
RNAcentral lists this long non-coding RNA (699 nucleotides) under Vulpes vulpes (red fox). RNAcentral describes it as "lncRNA (ENSVVUG00000028683.1)". Lineage: Eukaryota; Metazoa; Chordata; Mammalia; Carnivora; Canidae. The record is from RNAcentral.